Molecule: ribosomal RNA, 233 nt
Filed under: uncultured bacterium
Lineage: Bacteria
Description: partial 16S ribosomal RNA
Rfam family: Bacterial small subunit ribosomal RNA
Source: RNAcentral
UACGAAGGGGGCUAGCGUUGUUCGGAAUUACUGGGCGUAAAGGGCGCGCAGGCGGCUCUUCAAGUCAGAUGUGAAAGCCCCGGGCUCAACCUGGGAACUGCAUUUGAGACUGGAGAGCUUGAGUUCGGGAGAGGAGAGCGGAAUUCCCAGUGUAGAAGGUGAAAUUCGUAGAUAAUUGGGAAGAACACCGGUGGCGAAGGCGGCUCUCUGGACCGAUACUGACGCUGAGGCGC